Molecule: long non-coding RNA, 1010 nt
Organism: Alnus glutinosa
Lineage: Eukaryota; Viridiplantae; Streptophyta; Magnoliopsida; Fagales; Betulaceae
Exons: 4
Source: RefSeq, a predicted model, not a curated record
UGGCCGAGUGGCCUCUUUAAUAAAAGAAGUAGUGCCUCUUCGUUUAAUUUUUUUUAGAACCACAGAGAGCUCUUCUUCAGUUUUCUUCUUUUGGAUUUCCAUUGAAAUAUUACGAUAUACGAAGAUCCAACGGUCCAAUCUUAGAUCCGAUUUUAGCAACACAAUCCUUAAAGGCCGAUCUACGUUUUGAGAUUUUGUGUGGUUUGGUGUUGCUAGGAGCUUCCCGAGCAUUGGGUCUUGGUGUGAUGAAUUUUUGCGGCACUUUACGGUUGAGCUUGGAGUCGUUUAGAUAUUUGGGAGUACAAGCGACUUGAGGAAAGACGUGUUAGCAUGAUUGAGUUUAACUCUAGUGCUCUCAUGAUCUACUGACGUUCAAGGAACGAAGCUGAAAUAUGAUUAGAGAUGGUGUUGCGAGUAUUUUGUUGACGGAUGUUAUCCUAGUAUGGAAGAGUAAGAUGUCAUGUUCCUUGCUUAAGACUUAUGUGUAUACUUGAUAUCUGUGAUGGAGUGAUCGUGUGCACAUAUGUCUGAGCGACCAAUGAAAAGUAUUAUUAUAGAAGGGUUUGUAUGUGGAAACUUUCAAGGAGGGAUGACUGGAACUUCUACAUAUUUUCUCAGCUAUUUAGUAUGUUUUAAAUGAUUUCUGAAUAGUCGGUGUUCACUGCAUUAGCUAUUGGUAAUUUGUGGCUAAUAUAGUGCUCGCAAUACUAAAAGUAAAAUAAAUGUUGGUUCUUUGUGAAAACUCAACUUGAGGCGGAUGAUGAUCCGGUAGCUCACUACUUGGGAUACUACGAUUGAAGCCCGUAGCGACAAUCGUAGUGGGAUAGGACUGAGGUGUCCUCAUUUUGGGUACUUUUGUAUAUGGCUUGUGACGUGUGUGUCACACAUUAUUUUGUAUAAGCCAUUCUUUUGUAAUAGUAAUAUGUAGUUAAACUUUAAACAGAUAAAUUUGUGUUAUGGCUCACUUAUGUAUAGAUAACAGGUUCAUUUAUAGUUAUGCUUUUCCGCUA